RNAcentral lists this ribosomal RNA (253 nucleotides) under uncultured bacterium. RNAcentral's name for it is "partial 16S ribosomal RNA". It matches the Rfam family "Bacterial small subunit ribosomal RNA", at positions 524 to 776 of the family's 1533-position model. The record is from RNAcentral.
UACAGAGGAUGCAAGCGUUAUCCGGAAUGAUUGGGCGUAAAGCGUCUGUAGGUGGCUUUUUAAGUCCGCCGUCAAAUCCCAGGGCUCAACUCUGGACAGGCGGUGGAAACUACCAAGCUGGAGUACGAUAGGGGCAGAGGGAAUUUCCGGUGGAGCGGUGAAAUGCGUAGAGAUCGGAAAGAACACCAGCGGCGAAAGCGCUCUGCUGGGCCGACACUGACACUGAGAGACGAAAGCUAGGGGAGCGAACAGG